Long non-coding RNA from Boleophthalmus pectinirostris (great blue-spotted mudskipper), 1258 nucleotides. RefSeq lists it as uncharacterized. The transcript has 4 exons. The record is from RefSeq and is a predicted model, not a curated record. NCBI's taxonomy places the organism in Eukaryota, Metazoa, Chordata, Actinopteri, Gobiiformes, Gobiidae.
UUUCUAGGGCUCCAGAACCAUCAGCGGCUCUUCUUGCUCCUUUGGCGGGCCAGGCACCGUCUGCACCUGAGCCAGCAACUCGCUAUCCCGAUCAGGUCACUGUGCGCAGAUCUACUCGGUCAACAGCUGGCCAACACCAGAAUCCCCAUCAUCUCCCAAGGUCCAUAGCUGGACAGCCGUCUAGGGGAGUUGAUGUGGCCGAAUCGUCAUCUAGGGCCACCUAUGUAGUGUUUAGACCGUGGUGCUAAGAUGCAUCUCUUCAUCGUCGGGUCGACGAUGCAAACCGGGGGGGUAGAAUGUGGCAUGACCGGCUUUGAGGGUCUAGGCUGCAGGUGCUCUUACCUGGCGUUCCGUGGCGCUGCGCUGGUGGGCUAUUUAAGCGCUCCCUUCUCAGUCGUUCCCCCUUUUGGCUCACACGCUCUUCCGGGCCUCUCCUUGUGGCCGCUCUGUCCUCCCGCUCAGGUAACUUCACUGUGUAACUUCCAUGGCCGUUAUAUCUAAAUUUCCAUCCACGUCUCUUUUUAGUGCCGCUGCUUGGCCACUGCUUGGCCGGUGCUCUGCACCGCAUCAGUCCCUCGCUCCUCCGAGUCGCGGAGCACCUAGGGCGCGCUUUCAUCUCCUCUGACCAAGCUCCACGGGUAAGACGAGUGAAUCCCUCCCCAUUGCGCUUGGCUGUGCGCCGCCGUGUCCCGUAAACCGCGGCGGCAGCGUGUGCCGGUCCACGUGUUUGGACCACGUCUGGACGGUGUUAUUCUGUGUAGUCGCAUUCAGCCUGGGGAUUGCGCACUGUCACACUCAACCACGGUGUCGGCGGGGGCCUGCAGCGGCGUGAGGACACCACCUCUGCUGUUUUGCUUUUAGUUUUAUUUUGUUUUGCUUUUAGUUUUAUUUUGUUUCACUUUUAGUUUUAUUUCGUUUUGCUCUGUUUUGUUUGUUGGGUUCUGUUUGCUUUGUUUCAGUUUUGCUUUGGGUUUUGGGGUUUUGUUUUGCAAUUUCAAUAUUGUGUACCUGUUCACCCACUGUAGUGUUUUACUGGUUGCCUAUUUUUAUGAAUGUAGCUACUUUUAGCAUUUAAAUCUGUCUUUUAAAACAACAGAAAAAUCAAUAAAGAUUGUGUAAUUGAUGGAACCUGGCUCCCUCUCCCUCUAUGAUAUACUUACCUGUGUGCCUUACAUUUACUUAAUUUCCCCAAACUAGAUUUGGGGUGGCGUUGUUGCAGCAACAUAUUAUCACACUUAAACAAUUCCCGGAGCGUUAA